RNAcentral lists this ribosomal RNA (547 nucleotides) under uncultured bacterium. RNAcentral describes it as "bacterial SSU rRNA". It matches the Rfam family "Bacterial small subunit ribosomal RNA", at positions 777 to 1322 of the family's 1533-position model. The record is from RNAcentral.
AAUAGAUACCCGGGUAGUCCACCCCGUAAACGUUGGGAACUAGUUGUGGGGUCCUUUCCACGGAUUCCGUGACGGCAGCUAACGCAUUAAGUUCCCCGCCUGGGGAGUACGGCCGCAAGGCUAAAACUCAAAGAAAUUGACGGGGACCCGCACAAGCGGCGGAGCAUGCGGAUUAAUUCGAUGCAACGCGAAGAACCUUACCAAGGCUUGACAUACACCAGAACACCCUAGAAAUAGGGGACUCUUUGGACACUGGUGAACAGGUGGUGCAUGGUUGUCGUCAGCUCGUGUCGUGAGAUGUUGGGUUAAGUCCCGCAACGAGCGCAACCCUCGUUCUAUGUUGCCAGCACGUAAUGGUGGGAACUCAUGGGAUACUGCCGGGGUCAACUCGGAGGAAGGUGGGGAUGACGUCAAAUCAUCAUGCCCCUUAUGUCUUGGGCUUCACGCAUGCUACAAUGGCCGGUACAAAGGGCUGCAAUACCGUGAGGUGGAGCGAAUCCCAAAAGCCGGUCCCAGUUCGGAUUGAGGUCUGCAACUCGACCUCAUG